RNAcentral lists this long non-coding RNA (244 nucleotides) under Helianthus annuus (common sunflower). RNAcentral's name for it is "sRNA HanXRQr2_Chr04g0184221". Lineage: Eukaryota; Viridiplantae; Streptophyta; Magnoliopsida; Asterales; Asteraceae. The record is from RNAcentral.
UCCAAAUUGACCAGCCAGAAUCACAUAUGUCGCCUUCUUCUUACGCCUCUGAAGCUGCAGGUUUUCAAGGAAGGAAGCCGGAGCGUCUAAUGGACAAGCCGGUGGUGACGUGCGUUUGAAGGGUUUACUUUGAAGGUGAAGAUGGGGACUUUCCGGAUGGCAAUCAAGCAUGUUAUCAAGAACCGAACACGAACUUUUGAAGCUUCCGCAUUAACUUAACUUUGUCUAGACAAUGUUUUUGGAU